This 466-nucleotide ribosomal RNA is filed under the name uncultured bacterium. Its description in RNAcentral is "partial 16S ribosomal RNA". It matches the Rfam family "Bacterial small subunit ribosomal RNA", at positions 28 to 505 of the family's 1533-position model. The record is from RNAcentral.
GACGAACGCUGGCGGCGUGCUUAACACAUGCAAGUCGAACGGAAAGGCCCUGCUUUUGUGGGGUGCUCGAGUGGCGAACGGGUGAGUAACACGUGAGUAACCUGCCCUUGACUUUGGGAUAACUUCAGGAAACUGGGGCUAAUACCGGAUAGGAGCUCCUGCUGCAUGGUGGGGGUUGGAAAGUUUCGGCGGUUGGGGAUGGACUCGCGGCUUAUCAGCUUGUUGGUGGGGUAGUGGCUUACCAAGGCUUUGACGGGUAGCCGGCCUGAGAGGGUGACCGGCCCACUUGGGAAUGGGGAACGGGCCAGGCUCCUACGGGAGGCAGGCGGUGGGAAAUGUGGCAAAGGGGGGGAAGGCUGGUGGCGCAACGCCGGGGGGGGGAUUGCGGGCUUUGGGUUGGAAACCGCUUUCGCCUGGGACGAAGGGUGGGGGGCGGGUAAGGGGAAAGAAGCCCCGGCUAAAUCCC